GUCCACGCCGUAAACGAUGAGAACUAGAUGUCGGGAGGAUUUAGCCUCUCGGUGUCGCAGCUAACGCGUUAAGUUCUCCGCCUGGGGAGUACGGUGGCAACACUAAAACUCAAAGGAAUUGACGGGGACCCGCACAAGCGGUGGAGCAUGUGGUUUAAUUCGAUGCAACGCGAAGAACCUUACCUACCCUUGACAUCCUCAGAACUUGUUAGAGAUAACUUGGUGCCUUCGGGAAUUGAGUGA
This 243-nucleotide ribosomal RNA is filed under the name uncultured bacterium. RNAcentral's name for it is "partial 16S ribosomal RNA". It matches the Rfam family "Bacterial small subunit ribosomal RNA", at positions 793 to 1034 of the family's 1533-position model. The record is from RNAcentral.